CAGCAGCCGCGGUAAUACGUAGGGUGCGAGCGUUAAUCGGAAUUACUGGGCGUAAAGCGUGCGCAGGCGGUUGUGCAAGACAGAUGUGAAAUCCCCGGGCUCAACCUGGGAACUGCAUUUGUGACUGCACGGCUAGAGUGCGGCAGAGGGAGAUGGAAUUCCGCGUGUAGCAGUGAAAUGCGUAGAUAUGCGGAGGAACACCGAUGGCGAAGGCAAUCUCCUGGGCCUGCACUGACGCUCAUGCACGAAAGCGUGGGGAGCAAACAGGAUUAGAUACCCUGGUAGUCCACGCCCUAAACGAUGUCAACUAGUUGUUGGACGGCUUGCUGUUCAGUAACGUAGCUAACGCGUGAAUUUACCGCCUGGG
RNAcentral lists this ribosomal RNA (367 nucleotides) under uncultured bacterium. RNAcentral's name for it is "bacterial SSU rRNA". It matches the Rfam family "Bacterial small subunit ribosomal RNA", at positions 509 to 877 of the family's 1533-position model. The record is from RNAcentral.